UACGAAGGGGGCUAGCGUUGUUCGGAAUUACUGGGCGUAAAGCGCGCGCAGGCGGUCUUCCAAGUCAGUGGUGAAAGCCCGGAGCUCAACUCCGGAACUGCCAUUGAAACUGUUGGACUUGAGUACGAGAGAGGUGAGUGGAAUUCCCAGUGUAGAGGUGAAAUUCGUAGAUAUUGGGAAGAACACCGGUGGCGAAGGCGGCUCACUGGCUCGUAACUGACGCUCAGGCGCGACAGCCGUGGGGAUCAAACAGG
RNAcentral lists this ribosomal RNA (254 nucleotides) under uncultured bacterium. Its description in RNAcentral is "partial 16S ribosomal RNA". It matches the Rfam family "Bacterial small subunit ribosomal RNA", at positions 524 to 776 of the family's 1533-position model. The record is from RNAcentral.